UCCAGACUCCUACGGGCGGCAGCAGUGGGGCCUCUUGGGCAAUGGGCUCCCGCCUGACCCCGCCCCGCCGCGUGCCGGCAGAAGGCUUUCGGGUUGUAAACUUCUUUUGACAGGGCCGCGGAGAAUACGGUCCCUGUCGAAUACGCCCCGGCUAACUCCGUGCCAGCAGCCGCGGUCAUACGUAGGUGGCGAGCGUUAUCCGGACUGAUUGGGCGGAAAGGGUGCGCAGGCGGUCCUGCAAGUCUGGAGUGAAACGCAUGAGCUCAACGCAGGCGUGGCGGUGGAAACUGGAGGACGGGAGAGCAGGAGAGGGCGGGGGAACUCCAUGGGGAGCGGUAAAAUGCGGAGAUAUAUGGAAGAACACCAGUGGCGAAGGCGGCCGCCGGGCCGGUUGCUGACGCGGAGGCACGAAAGCGGGGGGAGCACAGAGGAGGAGAGACCCGAGGAU
RNAcentral lists this ribosomal RNA (448 nucleotides) under uncultured bacterium. RNAcentral's name for it is "bacterial SSU rRNA". It matches the Rfam family "Bacterial small subunit ribosomal RNA", at positions 330 to 793 of the family's 1533-position model. The record is from RNAcentral.